CCUACGGGAGGCAGCAGUGAGGAAUAUUGGUCAAUGGGCUUACGCCUGAACCAGCCAAGUCGCGUGAGGGAAGACUGCCCUAUGGGUUGUAAACCUCUUUUGUCAGGGAGCAACGCGGGCCACGUGUAGGCUGCCUUAGAGUCCCUGAAGAAAAAGCAUCGGCUAACUCCGUGCCAGCAGCCGCGGUAAUACGGAGGAUGCGAGCGUUCUCCGGAUUUAUUGGGUUUAAAGGGUGCGUAGGCGGCAUGCCAAGUCAGCGGUAAAAUUGCGGGGCUCAACCUCGCUCAGCCGUUGAAACUGGCGUUCUUGAGUGGGCGAGAAGUAGGCGGAAUGCGUGGUGUAGCGGUGAAAUGCAUAGAUAUCACGCAGAACUCCGAUUGCGAAGGCAGCAUACCGGCGCCCAACUGACGCUGAAGCACGAAAGCGUGGGUAUCGAACAGGAUUAGAUACCCUGGUAGUC
RNAcentral lists this ribosomal RNA (460 nucleotides) under uncultured bacterium. RNAcentral describes it as "partial 16S ribosomal RNA". It matches the Rfam family "Bacterial small subunit ribosomal RNA", at positions 338 to 795 of the family's 1533-position model. The record is from RNAcentral.